CCCGGCCCUCCCGUCACAGGCAUGGUGACCCCGGUCCAGCUUUCCAACCCCAAUCUCAGCUACCACUCAGACGACACCCGCCGGCUGAGCGCAGACCUGCGCCUUAGGUCUCAAGACCGCUGAGAAAGAAACCACCUUCCCUUUUGCAGGUGAGAACACUGGGACCAGGAGAUCAAAUGACGAACGAAAGUCACACUGAAUGGGGUCAAAUACACCUGGGACGGACCAGGCUGGCCGCCUCCGAGGCCCGAAGCUGGGCGGUCUCACGAGGUCCCCGCAGCCCGCCUGUCCCCGAGGGCUCCGAGGGGGUCGCGCUGAGACGCCCUUGGGUGAGAGGUCCCAGGUUCCCCACCGCAGAGACCCAGAGACUCCGAGUCAAGACCCAACGUCAAGGCCGACCCAGAGCAGGCGGUGCAGGCGACAGGGCAAGAGAAAGCCUGAUUCCAUUAUAGUUUAAUAUAGCUGUGUUGGGACAAUCCUGAAAUGAUUAGAUGUAAAUGGAAAUAUUCUAACAGUUUAGGUAUGUGCUGGCAUUUUUGCUUGUUUGAUUCCUUUCUACUCUUCUUUGCCAAUGGUAUAACUGGUAUGAUCCCUUUUGUUCCCCAUGUGAUUGCUUGGUAUGAUUGUUUUCUUUUUGUUGAGUUGACCAUGUGAUGGAAUUCUCUUUCUCUUUUGAACUUUGGCUGUUCUUGUGAUCUGUAACAUAAAUGGAUUCUAGAGAAGGAUGGAAAUUUGGAGUUCACUUAGUCUGAAACCUCACCCCUAAGCAAGAAUUUCCUCUCCAAAAUAUAAAAUGUUCUUUGGGUUCUGUUGACUAUUUCCAGCAUGGUGGUUCCCAUUUCUUCAGGGGGCAGCCAGUUUCAUAUUUAUAUAUUCUUUCUUUUAUGAGUCCAAGUCAUCUCACCAUUACCUUCUCCUCUCCCGACUUCAUUGUUCCCAGUUUGGUGCUCUAAUACUUGCAGAUUAUAUUUAUUUCAUCUCAUAUGACUGCUAUUAUAGAUAUUUGAAAUUAACUCCAAGUAGCCUCCUUUUCAGUUUGGAUAUCAGUAAUUCUUUCAACCAUUCUUUGGUAGGAGAAUGAAAUUUGCCUCCCCCAAACAUCUCCUUGGCAUACGGAUUAUUUCAAGCUGUAAACAGUCAAGGCCCAAAAAGACUCAGGAAGAAACUUUGACCUUCCUCCUAACUGCCUAAAAGAAUUUAGAUGGAGGGUUUAUUCCUGGAAAAUCUCCUGAGACACUUUCUAAGAAUAUGGGCUAGCUGGGGUGGGAGAAACUGCAGGGCCUAGAGAUCAGGGUUCACUCUGUGUCACUUUGUCUCUUCAUGGCCCAGCAAACAUUUGGUUAUCAAACAUUUGCUUUUUCAUUUUCAUGUUAUUACCUUCCUCCUCUUUGAUAUCUCAAACCAUUACCCCCAACGUUCUUUUUUGUCCUUAGCUGAAGAUGGUAUUGAAGCUGAGAGUUUCAUUCAUUAUGGCAAGUUACUCAGUUUUCCUGAGUCUUUCUCAUGUGUACCUUUUAUUUAACUUCUGUUUGAUUUUCUCUUGUUAAUCUGUCUCUUGUCAAUUUAAUUCUUAGUCCAGUCCAGAAGAACCGGAAGGUUAGAGAAACGUUUCUUCCUCACUGACAUUUCUUACCUUUAUAGUUUUCAA
Molecule: long non-coding RNA, 1648 nt
Filed under: Bos grunniens (domestic yak)
Lineage: Eukaryota; Metazoa; Chordata; Mammalia; Artiodactyla; Bovidae
Description: lncRNA (ENSBGRG00000013908.1)
Source: RNAcentral